Molecule: long non-coding RNA, 404 nt
Organism: Oncorhynchus keta (chum salmon)
Lineage: Eukaryota; Metazoa; Chordata; Actinopteri; Salmoniformes; Salmonidae
Exons: 3
Source: RefSeq, a predicted model, not a curated record
AAGGGGGAGAGGGGUGGGAUAUAGCGAUGGAGGGUAUAUGGAGAUUCAAGAUACAGGUGAUUGGGGGGUGUUGAGUGUAUUGUUGGGGUUUGGAAGGGUAUAAUCUUUACUCUUUCUACCUCCCUGUGUGUCAGAUAUAAUGCCAUAGUAAAGUACAAGACUGCCUUCUACUCCUUCUACCUCCCUGUGUGUCAGAUAUAAGGCCAUAGUAAAGUACAAGACUGCCUUCUACUCCUUCUACCUCCCUGUGUGUCAGAUAUAAGGCCAUAGUAAAGUACAAGACUGCCUUCUACUCCUUCUACCUCCCUGUGUGUCAGAUAUAAGGCCAUAGUAAAGUACAAGACUGCCUUCUACUCCUUCUACCUCCCUGUGUGUCAGAUAUAAGGCCAUAGUAAAGUACAAGA